Molecule: ribosomal RNA, 468 nt
Filed under: uncultured bacterium
Lineage: Bacteria
Description: partial 16S ribosomal RNA
Rfam family: Bacterial small subunit ribosomal RNA
Source: RNAcentral
GACGAACGCUGGCGGCGUGCUUAACACAUGCAAGUCGAACGGAAAGGCCCUGCUUUUGUGGGGUGCUCGAGUGGCGAACGGGUGAGUAACACGUGAGUAACCUGCCCUUGACUUUGGGAUAACUUCAGGAAACUGGGGCUAAUACCGGAUAGGAGCUCCUGCUGCAUGGUGGGGGUUGGAAAGUUUCGGCGGUUGGGGAUGGACUCGCGGCUUAUCAGCUUGUUGGUGGGGUAGUGGCUUACCAAGGCUUUGACGGGUAGCCGGCCUGGGAGGGUGACCGGCCAAAUUGGGACUGAGAUACGGCCCAGACUCCUACGGGAGGCAGCAGUGGGGAAUAUUGCAUAAUGGGCGGAAGCCUGAUGCAGCAACGCCGCGUGCGGGAUGACGGCCUUCGGGUUGUAAACCGCUUUCGCCUGUGACGAAGCGUGAGUGACGGUAAUGGGUAAAGAAGCACCGGCUAACUACGUG